GAGAUACUGGGGUGCAAAGGAGCGGAAAAAAAUAACAGUAUGGGGAUGAGGUAGAUUGGAUGGGCUAUUUACAGGUGCAGUGAUCUGUGAGCUGCUCCGAAAGCUGGUGCCAGCCACCACCCCACAACUUUAGAGGAGGAACCACUGUAGGUCCAUCAGUUUUAUCUGGUAGAUAAAUGCCUCAGCCACCACCCCACAACUUUAGAGGAGGAACCACUGUAGGUCCAUCAGUUUUAUCUGGUAGAUAAAUGCCUCAGCCACCAUCCCACAACUUUAGAGGAAGAACCACUGUAGGUCCAUCAGUUUUAUCUGGUAGAUAAAUGCCUCAGCCACCACCCCACAACUUUAGAGGAGGAACCACUGUAGAUCCAUCAGUUUUAUCUGGUAGAUAAAUGCCUCAGCCACCGCACCAGAACUUUAGAGGAGGAACCACUGUAGGUCCAUCAGUUUAUCUGGUAGAUAAAUGCCUCAGCCACCACCCAGAACUUUAGAGGAGGAACCACUGUAAGUCCAUCAGUUUAUCUGGUAGAUAAAUGCCUCAGCCACCACCCCACAACUUUUGAGCGAAGAAACGCCCAGUCCAGCUCUAUCUGCC
Long non-coding RNA from Oncorhynchus tshawytscha (Chinook salmon), 595 nucleotides. Lineage: Eukaryota; Metazoa; Chordata; Actinopteri; Salmoniformes; Salmonidae. The record is from Ensembl.